Drosophila pseudoobscura is the source of this 1195-nucleotide long non-coding RNA. RefSeq lists it as uncharacterized. The transcript is spliced from 2 exons. NCBI's taxonomy places the organism in Eukaryota, Metazoa, Arthropoda, Insecta, Diptera, Drosophilidae. The record is from RefSeq and is a predicted model, not a curated record.
AGAGUCGAAAUAUAUCUGAUAUCUGAAUAUAUCUGGUGUUGGUGAAACCGCUUUUAAACUAAGACUAACUCUAGACUAAGACUAAGCUUAAAACUGAAAGAAACAAACAAAAAAAAAAGAAAAUAUUGAAUUGCACAAAUCGUUAUUCUCAAUUUUAAAUUUAUUGUACAUAUUCGUAAAUUCGACAUUUAAUAUUUUCUUUUUUAUAAAAAAAAAACCAUAAACAAAAAAAAGCACUUUGGAAAAAUACAACAAAUGGCAAAUAAAAUGAUGCAAAUUAUAGAAAUUAUAGAUCAAUAUCGUUAUACUACUAUAUACGAUAUAGCGUACAUCCAUGGGCAAGUAUUUCUGUCGUGUCAUCCCUCUCGCAAGACGUGUGUGUGUACAUUUGUUCAAAAUUGAAAACAACUUUUUGUGCAACAAAGGAAAAUGUGUUUUCCAGCACUGAUACUUCCAGCUUUCUACUGCUUGUUGUAGUAGUAGUAACUGAUGAUCAAUAGAACCGAACCACUCACAACUCGAUUAAUAGUCACUGAUUUACAACACUAGUCGUGGUUAUGCAACACUCUGUUCUCCUUCUACUGCUUGGAUAGUGGCGGCAAGUAGAAGGGUUCCUUCCACUCCACUGCUUGGUUAGUAGUCAUCAAUGGUCUUGCAACACUGUUUUCCCAACCAAUGAGAACGUUUUUCCAACACUAUUCUUACACAUUUCUACUGCCUGAUUAGUAGCCUCAAAUUAAAUGCAAAUCAAAAUUAAUUCAAAACAAAAGAUAUCUAAUUUCGGUAGAUAUUUUAUAUACCCCCCAAAAAACACAAACACAGACACACACACACAGAAAACCCAAAAUGCACGCGUCAAUCAGAAAUAUUACGAACAGGAGCUCAUACAGUUCAAAUUAAAUGUAGAAACUGUAAGUCGCGCCGAAAGAACCGAUGAAUCGAUGAGCGUAGAUAUUCUAGAGAUUCUUCUAGAUUUAAAUAAUCUUAACAGCAUUUUCAGUUUCACUUAUUCUUUUUUCCAAGCAGUGACUGCGUAGCCUCCUCUACCAGUAAUGUAAUCAAUUUCCCUUAAUGAUAAUUUAAUUUGUCUGAUUUAGGUUUUGUCUAAAAAACCCUAAAUAGUACUCGUACAAAAGCGUCAACAGUUUGUAAGCAUUUUAGUCGAAUAAAAACCGAGAGAUUUUUUAAGUGUUAA